This is a non-coding RNA of Loa loa (African eye worm), 118 nucleotides long. NCBI's taxonomy places the organism in Eukaryota, Metazoa, Nematoda, Chromadorea, Rhabditida, Onchocercidae. The record is from Rfam.
CUUGGCUAUGGUGACAUGGUACCAGCAACAAUAAUGGGUAAAGUUGUUGGUGGUGUUUGUUCCCUUAGUGGAGUUUUGGUAAUUGCACUUCCUGUUCCAGUAAGUUUUAUCUUUUGAG